Molecule: transfer RNA, 64 nt
Filed under: Anolis carolinensis (green anole)
Lineage: Eukaryota; Metazoa; Chordata; Lepidosauria; Squamata; Anolidae
Rfam family: tRNA
About the family: Transfer RNA (tRNA) molecules are approximately 80 nucleotides in length. Their secondary structure includes four short double-helical elements and three loops (D, anti-codon, and T loops).
Source: Rfam by way of RNAcentral
GAGAUAGUAGUUUGAGCUUUGGACUAUGACUCUAAAGUCCAGGGUUGAAAUCCUUGCUUACUCA